UACUUUUUUGCAUAUCUCACUUUUUUAGCUCAUUAAGAUAUAGUUAAAAAUUUGGGAUAUUAGGGAAAAUGAGGAGGGAAACGAUAUUGAGGCUUUGGCCUCAACUAUUCUUUGCUUUCAUGUAUUGCCUUAUUUAUGAUUAUUCUAAGUCAAGUGCUAGUGCUUUAUUUGUUAAAGCACCUCCUAAGUAUGUUACUUAUCCCCACUACCAUUACAUCCCGCGACACCCUAAGCAUAGAAGAUUCCCUCCCCAACCAACGCAUCCUCGCCGUUCACCUCCACCUCCCCCACAUAGUUUAUUCCCGCCACAUCCUCGUCGUUCACCUCCAUCUCCUCCACAUAGUUUAUUCCCGCCACCUCCUCCCCGUUCACCUCCACCUCCCUCACCUAGUUUAUCCCCGCCUCCUCCUCCCCGUUCACCAUCACCUCCCCCACCUGGUUUAUCCCCGCCACCUCCUCCCCGUUCACUUACACCUCCCCCACCUAGUAUAUCGCCACCUCCUCCACCUAGUUUAUCCAUGCCUCCUCCUCCCCCACCUGGUUUAUCCUCAUCACCUCCUCCCCGUUCACGUCCACCUCCCCCACCUGGUUUAUCCCUGCCACCUCAUCCUCGUUCACCUUCACCUCCCCCACCUAGUUUAUCAUCGCCUCCUCCUCCUCCACCUGGUUUAUCCCCGCCACCUCCUCCCCGUUCACCUCCACCUCCUCCACCUAGUUUAUCGCCACCUCCUCUUACCCGUUCACCUCCACCUCCCCCACGUCGUCCUAAUUCACGUCUACCUCCCUAAUUCAAUUCAUCACCACUGCUGCUCCUCCUCGUUAACCUAAUCUACAUCCACCACCUUGUUCAUCCACUUAAUUAAUCGCCAACUCACCCACCCAAUUAACCACCUCCUCUGCUUUGUUUGCACAAGCAAAAAAUUGUCCGAAUGUGAACACUUUUCCUCCACCUUAUAAAUAUUAUUAAAUAUCUAUAUAUUUAUACUAUUAUGACUUAUUCAAUACUUUUGAAUAAUAUACUGCAAUAAAACAUAUACCAUGUACUCUCGUAUAUUUGUAACACAAUAAGUUUCAACUAUCAACUCUAUGAUAGAGAAAUUUCAUAUGGCAAUGGAAUUAUAGUGUACUGUAUGUUUAAUUAUAUAUAAUAAUACAUAAGAUAAAUUAAUGUUUGACAAGUCUAUUACAUAUUUUGUAUUACGU
Molecule: RNA transcript, 1203 nt
Organism: Cannabis sativa
Lineage: Eukaryota; Viridiplantae; Streptophyta; Magnoliopsida; Rosales; Cannabaceae
Gene name: extensin-like
Exons: 3
Source: RefSeq, a predicted model, not a curated record